Schistosoma haematobium is the source of this 78-nucleotide non-coding RNA. NCBI's taxonomy places the organism in Eukaryota, Metazoa, Platyhelminthes, Trematoda, Strigeidida, Schistosomatidae. The record is from Rfam.
AGCUUUUCGAAUCUGUGCUGAGAUUUCGUCAGAUACCAACCCAUUUGGGAUAAUCAGACUUCCAAGAUAAGUCAAGUU